GAAAAAAAUUAUAUUGUUUUCUCACGACUUUAUGCGCUCAUUAUGUAGAAACUGUAGCAGAAUUAAACGAUUAACACUAUUUACCCGCUACCUUUUAGCUAUCCCAUGAGGCAGCGCGCACGAAUAUAAAUUACACUCGCACACGCCAUUCUGUCUCAUUUUGUCCUGGUUGUUCGUUGGGAAAGGUGUGUGGCGAUAUACCGUCCAGAUAAUUUUGAAAAAUGGUUAAUGUGACUACAGAGAAGGGACAGGGUGUCAGAGUUAAAACCGACCUUAAUGAUGGGUGAGCACUAUACAAGGGUUGUACCUUGUUGGCCAGACAGCCCGUGUGAGUAUGGCUGGUUUAAAGGUUGUCCUCUGGAAUUUCCACUUGUCAGGGAAUGGAUUACCUUAAGCACAGGGCUGCUGUAUUGAUGUGGCUGCUAUAAAAAGGGAGAACAGUUGAAAUGGCAAACUAUGAUGUGAAGUUGAAGUCAAGUGAACACUUGUCAAGGUGUUGAACUCUUCCUGAUGUCCUUGGCCAGGGUUUGACUGACUGCUCAUCUGGUGGCCUUGUGGUCGUCUGCCGCUUAGCACGGUCCUUUUGAAAUGGAAUCUCUGCCAGUGAAGUGCCACCUCAACACAGGCACUACAUGACCACCCUGGCACUGCACCGCUGGCUACUUUUAGCUGGGUGGGUUUUGCCCCCAACCCUGAUGGAGUGAUUUUGUAAUUCUAAAUAAAACUGCCCGGGUGCUUUGCACAACACUGAA
Long non-coding RNA from Erpetoichthys calabaricus (reedfish), 752 nucleotides. RefSeq lists it as uncharacterized. Lineage: Eukaryota; Metazoa; Chordata; Cladistia; Polypteriformes; Polypteridae. The record is from RefSeq and is a predicted model, not a curated record. The transcript is spliced from 13 exons.